RNAcentral lists this ribosomal RNA (292 nucleotides) under uncultured bacterium. RNAcentral describes it as "partial 16S ribosomal RNA". It matches the Rfam family "Bacterial small subunit ribosomal RNA", at positions 505 to 796 of the family's 1533-position model. The record is from RNAcentral.
GUGUCAGCAGCCGCGGUAAUACGUAGGCAGCAAGCGUUGUUCGGAAUUACUGGGCGUAAAGGGUGCGUAGGCGGCUUUUUAAGUUUGGUGUGAAAUCUCCCGGCUCAACUGGGAGGGUGCGCCGAAUACUGAGAAGCUAGAGUGUGGGAGAGGAAAGUGGAAUUCCUGGUGUAGCGGUGAAAUGCGUAGAUAUCAGGAGGAACACCGGUGGUGUAAACGGCUUUCUGGACCAUAACUGACGCUGAGGCACGAAAGCGUGGGUAGCAAACAGGAUUAGAAACCCGAGUAGUCC